CUUGGCUGUUAUAGCACUUUAGCAGUUGCAUGCAAUAAUGCUUUUUUUUUUUUCGAGAGGAAUAAUUAGCAUCCCCUGGUGUGGUGGAUAAUUAAGGGAACGUGCAUGCAUUCCUUUUAUAUUAUUUCAUCGAUUUCUUAAAACUCAUUUUUGUUACUGCCGUCCAACACAAAUCUGUUAUUGAGGAAUCUCAGAUGUCCUGUUUUGUUUCUGCUUUUCAGUUAUAAAACAAUAUAUAACUUAGUAUAAACAAGAAGUUUAUGCGAAUAUAUCUAUUUCCUGUUAUUUUUAGCCAUAAAGACAUUAAUUUAUAUAAAUUCAAAUUACGAUGAAAGUAAACAAAGUUUGUUUUAGAAGCGUUGAGAUGUAUUGAAAGUUAAGGAAAUGAUUUUUCUCCAGAAUAGAUCCCUAUUUUCCUCCAGAAUAGAUCCCUAUUUGUCUCCAGAAUAAAAUUAUUUCUUAUUUUCUUCAAGAAGAUCGAAUUGCCAUACGUCAUCAUCACGGUAGUUCAUUGGUGGGUUUUUGAACUGAAAGUAAACGAAGUUGUUUAUCAACUGUUAUUCAUAUAAACGUCCUUGAUGUAUAUACAUGAUCUUUCUCGCCAACAAAAUGGAACUAUAUUCAACCCUUAUCUUAUCAAUUUUCCUUGUUCCUACUAACUGCUUGCUGUUAUCACGAUGGAAAUACAAGACUAAGUUUGGUCGUAUUGAAUAUUGCUGUAGAUGCAGUAAAGAUUUUGUCAAAGAAGAUGUAAUCUAAGAAUGUUUUUUAAAAAAUAAACAUAACCAUUAUCUUUUGCCAUUUUGUAAUUGCCAUGAAGGAAUUAUUUCUAGUGAAUAAAAUUUCGCUGUUGACAUCACUUUGUGUGUGUAGGAUUCUGAGACCAUUGUCUAAACACUGUAACAAAUUCUAGAAAACUAGGUUGUGUAGACUCUCACCUCUAAUUCAUGUACUAAAUGUGGACAAGA
Long non-coding RNA from Octopus bimaculoides (California two-spot octopus), 968 nucleotides. NCBI's taxonomy places the organism in Eukaryota, Metazoa, Mollusca, Cephalopoda, Octopoda, Octopodidae. The record is from RefSeq and is a predicted model, not a curated record.